Molecule: long non-coding RNA, 1310 nt
Organism: Mauremys reevesii (Reeves's turtle)
Lineage: Eukaryota; Metazoa; Chordata; Testudines; Geoemydidae
Exons: 3
Source: RefSeq, a predicted model, not a curated record
GCCUGUAGAGGGAGAAGGGCCUGGCUGCAAGGUGCCAAGAAGGGAACCUAGACUGGCGCAGCACUGGGGAAAGGCCUGGGGAGCUCCGGCCUAGGAAAGCCGCAGGCUGAAGACCUGGGAAUCAGGACAUUGAACAUUCUGUGUAAAUAAACUGGAUUUCAUCAAAGAAAUACCAGAUUCCAUCAUCAGUAUCUCCUCCUAACCAAAACAACCUGCAAGGCCACCCAAAUCGGCUACCUGCUUGGAUUAAAAAGGAAUAAUACUGCUGUAAAGAGUGGGAUCUGGUUUCCAAGGAGGGAAGUUGUGAGCUGGUAUUCCCGUUGAACCAAAAUGGAAUAAUCGGGGUGCUCAUAGAAAUCAAAAAUGCCCCAAAGGAAUUAAAACAAGACCUAAAACAAACACUGGCUUCACAAAUGGGUUUAAAGCAGCACCUGAAAGUUUCCCAGGAAGAUUUUGGGGAAUGAUUUACAGAUGAAGAUAUAACACCCUCCGUCUGGAAUGGCAAGAUGGAUCAAUGCGGUGACCAGCAACCUGAAUGUCAUUAAUCAGAAAAUUUUCCAUGGAGGAGACCAGGAAAGCUUGGUUGACUUGGAACUUGCUAACAAAGAUGAGCGGCAGCCAGGACUUAAGCAGCUGAAAAAUCAUCUUAAGGAGGAAAUAAAAGGGUCAGAGCACAGAGGGAGGUCAGCUGCCUAGAUGUGGAAUUGGGCCAGCCAGAGAAUUUGACAUGCAGGCAGGAUAUAGAAAACUGGUACAGGAAAUGUGAUGCUAAAGCAGGGCCAGCCCUAGGCAGCAGUAUCUCAUGGGGGGCACCAAUGGAGCAUAUUGCUGCUGAUGAGCUUGGACUUCUGCCUCAGACAGAGUCUGACAAUCAUUAUUUCACAAAAUGGCCUGAAGCUUACCCAGUAACCAAGGGGGGAACCAAGAGACUGUGCCAAUAGCAGAGGUCCUACUUUAUCAAUACUUCACCAGAUGUGGAGUCCCAGCUGAGUUACACAGAAAUCAUUAAAAAGAGUUUUUGCACAGGUUUGAGAGGUUCUAAGACACUCAGAAGGACACGGAGAAGGAGCAAAGAAUUCCCAGUCAGAGAAGCUCUGGUAGCAUGACUCUGAGGAACAAAACUAAGAGCUUUUGGGUAAAAUGCUGGCUGAAAGAGGCUUAGAACUAUCUCUUGAUAUUUGAUUGCUACUGUGUUCAGGACACCAGGACUCUGCAUGUUUUUUGUAAAUAAACAGGUUUCAUAAAGGAGAUGCUUAACUGCAUCAAUUUCUCCUCAUAAUCAAAACAACCUGCAAGGCCCUGAAAAUUGA